This 773-nucleotide ribosomal RNA is filed under the name fungal sp. Its description in RNAcentral is "SSU rRNA". It matches the Rfam family "Eukaryotic small subunit ribosomal RNA", at positions 323 to 1098 of the family's 1831-position model. Lineage: Eukaryota; Fungi. The record is from RNAcentral.
CGAUGGUAGGAUAGAGGCCUACCAUGGUGGUAACGGGUAACGGGGUGUUAGGGCACGACACCGGAGAGGGAGCCUGAGAAACGGCUACCACAUCCAAGGAUGGCAGCAGGCGCGCAAAUUACCCAAUCCCGACACGGGGAGGUAGUGACAAUAAAUAACAAUACGGGGUUCUUUCGGAUCUCGUAAUUGGAAUGAGUACAAUUUAAAUCUCUUAACGAGGAACAAUUGGAGGGCAAGUCUGGUGUCAGCAGCCGCGGUAAUUCCAGCUCCAAUAGCGUAUAUUAAAGUUGUUGCAGUUAAAAAGCUCGUAGUUGAAUUUCGGGAUCAAUAUGUCGGUCGUGCCUCGGUACGUACUGGCGUAAUUGGUUUCUCCCUUCUGAAGAACCGCGAUGUCAUUAAUUUGGUGUCGUGGGGAAUCAGGACUGUUACUUUGAAAAAAUUAGAGUGUUUAAAGCAGGCUCGCACUUGAAUACAUUAGCAUGGAAUAAUGAAAUAGGACGUUUGAUUCCAUUUUGUUGGUUUCUAGGAUUGACGUAAUGAUUAAUAGGGAUAGUUGGGGGCAUUAGUAUUCAAUUGUCAGAGGUGAAAUUCUUGGAUUUAUUGAAGACUAACUACUGCGAAAGCAUUUGCCAAGGAUGUUUUCAUUAAUCAAGAACGAAAGUUAGGGGAUCGAAGACGAUCAGAUACCGUCGUAGUCUUAACCAUAAACUAUGCCGACUAGGGAUCGGAUGAUGUUGAUUUUUUAAUGACUCAUUCGGUGCCUUACGGGAACA